UGGUCAGUUUUUUUUUUCUUUGUGAUCGGU
Molecule: non-coding RNA, 30 nt
Filed under: Rattus norvegicus (Norway rat)
Lineage: Eukaryota; Metazoa; Chordata; Mammalia; Rodentia; Muridae
Source: RNAcentral